GAUGAACGCUGGCGGCGUGCCUAAUACAUGCAAGUCGAGCGAACGGACGAGAAGCUUGCUUCUCUGAUGUUAGCGGCGGACGGGUGAGUAACACGUGGAUAACCUACCUAUAAGACUGGGAUAACUUCGGGAAACCGGAGCUAAUACCGGAUGAUAUUUUGAACCGCAUGGUUCAAAAGUGAAAGACGGUCUUGCUGUCACUUAUAGAUGGAUCCGCGCUGCAUUAGCUAGUUGGUAAGGUAACGGCUUACCAAGGCAACGAUGCAUAGCCGACCUGAGAGGGUGAUCGGCCACACUGGAACUGAGACACGGUCCAGACUCCUACGGGAGGCAGCAGUAGGGGAUCUUCCGCAAUGGGCGAAAGCCUGACGGAGCAACGCCGCGUGAGUGAUGAAGGUCUUCGGAUCGUAAAACUCUGUUAUUAGGGAAGAACAUAUGUGUAGGUAACUGUGCACAUCUUGACGGUACCUAAUCAGAAAGCCACGGCUAACUACGUG
Molecule: ribosomal RNA, 497 nt
Filed under: uncultured bacterium
Lineage: Bacteria
Description: partial 16S ribosomal RNA
Rfam family: Bacterial small subunit ribosomal RNA
Source: RNAcentral